RNAcentral lists this ribosomal RNA (590 nucleotides) under uncultured bacterium. RNAcentral describes it as "bacterial SSU rRNA". It matches the Rfam family "Bacterial small subunit ribosomal RNA", at positions 338 to 945 of the family's 1533-position model. The record is from RNAcentral.
CCUACGGGAGGCAGCAGUAGGGAAUUUUCCACAAUGGGCGAAAGCCUGAUGGAGCAAUACCGCGUGCAGGAUGAAGGCCUUCGGGUUGUAAACUGCUUUUAUGUGCGAAGAAUUUGACGGUAACACAUGAAUAAGGAUCGGCUAACUACGUGCCAGCAGCCGCGGUCAUACGUAGGAUCCAAGCGUUAUCCGGAAUUACUGGGCGUAAAGAGUUGCGUAGGUGGCAUUAUAAGUGGAGCGUGAAAGCGUGCGGCUCAACCGCAUUAUUGCGUUCCAAACUGUGAAGCUUGAGUAUGGGAGAGGUAGAUGGGAAUUUCUAGUGUAGGAGUGAAAUCCGUAGAUAUUAGAAGGAACACCGAUGGCGUAGGCAGUCUACUGGCCCAUUACUGACACUAAGGCACGAAAGCGUGGGGAGCAAACGGGAUUAGGAUACCCCGGUAGUCCACGCUGUAAACCUAUGGACGCUAGCUGUGACACACAUCGACCUGUGUCGUAGCGAAGUUAACGCGUUAAGCAUCCCGCUGGGGAUCGGUCGCAGNUUAAAACUCAAAGGAUUGACGGCUGNGAGNGCGAGCGACGACGAGGAGAGG